UGAAGCUUAAAUGAUUUCUUCGGAAUGAACUUAAGUGGAUUAGUGGCGGACGGGUGAGUAACGCGUGAGUAACCUGCCUUACACAAGGGGAUAGCCGUUGGAAACGACGAAUAAUACCCUAUGAAACUAUCACUUCGCAUGAAGCGAUAGUCAAAGUGUUAGCGGUGUAAGAUGGACUUGCGUCUGAUUAGCUAGUUGGUGAGAAAAAAGCCCACCAAGGCAACGAUCAGUAGCCGGCUUGAGAGAGUGUACGGCCACAUUGGGACUGAGACACGGCCCAGACUCCUACGGGAGGCAGCAGUGGGGAAUUUUGCACAAUGGGGGAAACCCUGAUGCAGCGACGCCGCGUGAUUUAGAAGGCCUUCGGGUUGUAAAAAUCUUUUGUAUAGGAAGAAAAUGACAGUACUAUACGAAUAAGGUCCGGCUAAUUACGUGCCAGCAGCCGCGGUAAUACGUAAGGUCCGAGCGUUGUCCGGAAUCAUUGGGCGUAAAGGGUACGUAGGC
RNAcentral lists this ribosomal RNA (504 nucleotides) under uncultured Peptostreptococcus sp. RNAcentral's name for it is "bacterial SSU rRNA". It matches the Rfam family "Bacterial small subunit ribosomal RNA", at positions 56 to 576 of the family's 1533-position model. The record is from RNAcentral. Lineage: Bacteria; Bacillati; Bacillota; Clostridia; Peptostreptococcales; Peptostreptococcaceae.